This 430-nucleotide unclassified non-coding RNA is filed under the name soil metagenome. RNAcentral describes it as "partial contains 5.8S ribosomal RNA, internal transcribed spacer 2, and large subunit ribosomal RNA". The stretch from base 1 to 120 matches the Rfam family "5.8S ribosomal RNA", at positions 35 to 154 of the family's 154-position model. The record is from RNAcentral.
GAUGAAGAACGUAGCGAAAUGCGAUACGUAAUGUGAAUUGCAGAAUUCAGUGAAUCAUCGAAUCUUUGGACGCAUAUUGCGCUCUCUGGUAUUCCGGAGAGCAUGCUUGUUUGAGUAUCAGUAAACACCUCAACUCCCUUUUCUUUUUUGAAAUUGGAGCUGGACUUGAGUGAUCCCAACGCUUUCUUCCAAGAAAGUGGCGGGUUGCUUGAAAUGCAGGUGCAGCUGAACUUUUCUCUGAGCUAUAAGCAUAUCUAUUUAGUCUGCCUAAAAAACAGAUUAUUACCUUUGCUGCAGCUAACAUAAAGGAGACUAGUUCUUGUGCUGACUGAUGCAGGAUUCACAGAGACAGCUUCGGCUGACUUUGUAAACUCGAUCUCAAAUCAAGUAAGACUACCCGCUGAACUUAAGCAUAUCAAUAAGCGGAGGA